This 286-nucleotide long non-coding RNA is filed under the name Elaeis guineensis (African oil palm). RNAcentral describes it as "long non-coding RNA (EGUI_LNC069014)". Lineage: Eukaryota; Viridiplantae; Streptophyta; Magnoliopsida; Arecales; Arecaceae. The record is from RNAcentral.
AUGCCCCAAAGAGGAUCUUCUUCCUCUUUUUCUCACACAUGAACACCCACCCCUCUCCCUCAAAUUUCUUAUGCCCUCUCUAAGGUUUUCUCACACCAAAGCUAAAGUGGUUUGGCACACAAAAAAUUAUCCUCUUUAAAGGUGGCAUCCCAUGUAGAGAUUGGAUAAUUUGGUUCAGGUUUAAACAAGGUAUGAUCUUAUCAUGAAUUCAAAUCAAAUUUGAAUUCUUUUUCAAAUCAGAUUUAAUCCACAACUAAAGAAUCCAGAAAGGAGGGUGACACAACUU